AGAACGAACGCUGGCGGCAGGCCUAAUACAUGCAAGUCGAACGCACUCUUCGGAGUGAGUGGCAGACGGGUGAGUAACGCGUGGGAACCUUCCUUGUAGUACGGAAUAACUCCGGGAAACCGGUGCUAAUACCGUAUACGCCCUCCGGGGGAAAGAUUUAUCGCUACAAGAUGGGCCCGCGUUGGAUUAGCUAGUUGGUAGGGUAAUGGCCUACCAAGGCUACGAUCCAUAGCUGGUCUGAGAGGAUGAUCAGCCACACUGGGACUGAGACACGGCCCAGACUCCUACGGGAGGCAGCAGUAGGGAAUCUUGGACAAUGGGCGAAAGCCUGAUCCAGCCAUGCCGCGUGAGUGAAGAAGGCCUUAGGGUUGUAAAGCUCUUUUGGCGGGACGAUAAUGACGGUACCGCAGAAUAAGCCCCGGCUAACUUCGUGCCAGCAGCCGC
RNAcentral lists this ribosomal RNA (444 nucleotides) under uncultured bacterium. RNAcentral's name for it is "SSU rRNA". It matches the Rfam family "Bacterial small subunit ribosomal RNA", at positions 26 to 518 of the family's 1533-position model. The record is from RNAcentral.